Molecule: transfer RNA, 68 nt
Filed under: Marmota monax (woodchuck)
Lineage: Eukaryota; Metazoa; Chordata; Mammalia; Rodentia; Sciuridae
Description: tRNA.Ala
Source: RNAcentral
GGUUGUGGCUAAGUGGGUAGUGGGCUUGCCUAGCACACAGGAGGCACUGGGUUCGAUCCUCAGCACCA